This is a long non-coding RNA of Fundulus heteroclitus (mummichog), 768 nucleotides long. RefSeq lists it as uncharacterized. The record is from RefSeq and is a predicted model, not a curated record. The transcript is spliced from 2 exons. NCBI's taxonomy places the organism in Eukaryota, Metazoa, Chordata, Actinopteri, Cyprinodontiformes, Fundulidae.
GGGGCAGGGGCACCCAGUACCUUAUCGACUGGGAGGGUUAUGGGCCAGAGGAACGUCAGUGGGUUCCCUCCCGACUCAUCUUAGACAAGUCCCUCAUCAGGGACUUCCACAAGACUCACCCUGACCAGCCCAGGGCGUCUAGAAUCCGCCCUUGAGGGAGGGGCUCUGUAAUGAUUCUGGCACUGGAGCUGAUUCAUUUCCCCUUCUUUCUCACCUGCUCAGUCUCCACCUCUCUGCAAUUAAACGUUACUGGCUCCACCUGUCUCCAGCUGCAUAAAAGCCCUGUCAAUCUCAGUCUCCAGUGCCAGAACGUCUCUAGCCUUUUGCCGAGAACCUUCAAGCCUGUUAAUCAAUUCCUGCCUGUCUGUUGCCGACCUGAUCUGUCCUCUGUUUUUCCCGAGCCUGCCGAAGCCCUCUCUGGUCCUGUCUGUUCGAUACCUGUCUGUCUGGAAACCCUUCCCCCUGGACUGUCUUCCCGUGUGCCGAACCUGGACCGAACCUGAACCCGAUCUCGGAUACCCCUUCUGGCGGAUCUUUGGCCCCAACGUUAACGAACCCGGACUGUCUUUGGAUUUACGCCCCUGGAUUGCCCCAAACGGGCUCUGCCUGCCGGUCUCAACUGUCUGCGGACGCCUCUCAUCUCCAAGACCAUCUUCCCCGAACAACCCAGCCCGCAAUCAGGAGACUGCCGGCCGACAAGCCGCAAGCAGCGCGUCCCGAGAGCCCCACUUCCCCUCUCCUUUUAAAUAAACAAACCUCGUAACGCCA